This 16447-nucleotide long non-coding RNA is filed under the name Citrus maxima (pomelo). RNAcentral describes it as "long non-coding RNA (CMAX_LNC000466)". Lineage: Eukaryota; Viridiplantae; Streptophyta; Magnoliopsida; Sapindales; Rutaceae. The record is from RNAcentral.
UGUAUUUCGCAAUCUUGAUAAAGGAUGUGCGAUAAGUUAUUAUGAUUUCCAAUAUUCUGGUGUUGUUGCUGAUCUACAGGCCUAUUGCAAAUUACCAUGGCACAAGUGGAAGGCAACCUUGAAGCAAAAUUAUUUCAACACUCCAUGGGCGUCUAUCUCUGUAAUUGCAGCUGUUAUUCUUCUUCUACUCACAUUCAUACAAACAGUUUGUUCUCUCAUCGCGUUGUAGGUUCACUUUUACAGUUUAUUAUGUAUUAUUUUCUUAGAAGGAUUUCACUUGUAUUACCAGUGAGUGUUUCUGUUUAGCUCAACCACAGUAUGUAUAUAAAAGAAAUAAGAGCAGCUGAUUUCUGUACUUACUUUUUGCUGUUUUCACAAUAAGUCAAGCACAUAAUGAUAAAAAUUUGACAAUUCAAUUAAUUUUGAAGAAAGAAUCAAGUCCUCCACUCGUCCAAUCGUCCACUUGUUAACAAAAAAUAUCUAGAAUUAUAUAUAUCCAGGAAGGGAGGGUAGUUAGGAUAUGUGGUUAACAAAUAGUUAUAUGGUAGUAUAUGGAAAAUGUGGCUAAGAAAUACGAUACGAUAUAUACAUAUAAGCAGUUAGAUUUAUUGGUGAAAAGUAAAAUGCCCUAUAAUUACAUAUAUACUUCGGUGAAAACAAGCAUAAAUAGUCACAUAGACGUAAGGCAACGCAGCAGCAGCACUAAUGCUCUUACCCUGGAAUAGUGAGGCUAUCUUGGCUACCUGAAGAGAGCCAAUGAACUGUGAUGCUCAAAAUCAAUGGAGACAUGACUAGUAAUCUUUUCAGCAGCUCAGAUGGUGCGGCCAUUACUGUGUCAUGGAGUAAGUAGCGCAGGAAUCCGCAAACGAGUAUCACUGCUGCCUUGAGAAGCCAUUGCUCUGUUAUGCCGAUGCUUUGAGGCCUUGAUGAAGCGAUGAGUUAAAGGAAGUGGUUUGGAGCUAAAAGGGAAAGGACUGAAGGGUCUAUCAGGAUCAUAGGGUUUUUGUGUUUGCUUUUGUGGACUUAUGUGAGCGAGUACCGUUACAAGAGACAGAAUUAUUGAGCCUCUGUCAGUAACUUUGUCCCAUAUGUUAACAUUUCUUAACAGAGGCAAUAAUUUACGAAGUGGCAAUUUGAAAUUCAAUAUUUCUCAUCUCAUUUAGAAGAAUCCAACCUGUUGCAAACAAGAUUGACCAUCUAGCUGUCAAAAUUUGAACUUAAGCUGCAACAAACAACCGUUCCCCUCAACCCACCUACACCCCGGCACUUUCUUCAAACCUUUCUGGUUCGUGGCAACCAUCAUCUCAGCUGCAUUAUCCCAAUUACCAGAUAGAGAUGAUACGCUUGGCAGAGUUGAAGGUCCUGUGAUCAUUGUCAGUCCUUUGCAUCUCACAGUUGAAACAUGAACAUAAUUGCUCAUCAUUCGGAUCCUGAGAAUAUGUCAAAGAACGUCCGCGCAUUGCGACUGCGGCAGUAGGAAACGCGACAGCUUCAAAAUUAUUGUAAAAGCGGCACCGAUCGAGGAACAAAAUAGCAACUCCAGAAGAAAGGAUGUUCUGAAGCUUCCACAGCGGUAGGCCUCACGCAGGGGUUCCAGGAACAGAGCCACAAAAUCAAGCUGAUGGCAUCACUGCUAGCUGAUGACACACUCACUCCCCCAAGCUGAUGACACCACCCAUCUGCGGGAAUUUCCAAUUGAGAUUGCUCGCGAGUUGAAUUCCAAGAGGCCAGGAGUUCUUAGUGGGGCUUCCAAUCACUUGGCAGAUUUUGUAAAUUUGAUCAGCUGAGCUUUUCCCUAGAAAGAGAAUCCUGAAACUCAACAUCUCGGGCAUAAUAGCACCCAUCGCCCACAUAUCAACUUCAGGUCCGUAAAUCUCGGAAAAAAGCAACACCUCAGGAGCUCGAUACCAGCGAGUUAUAACAUAAUCAGUGCACGGCAGAUUGGAAUCAAUUUCCUUCACCAUUCCAAGAUCCCCUAUCUUGAUCACACCUUUUGAAACAAGCAAGUUGGAAGGCUUAAGGUCACAGUGAAAAUAAUGUUGAGCGUGGAAUGCGGAAUCAAGCGCACCAAACAAUUAUAGAAAAAUAAAGGACACAAGAAUUACGUGGUUCGGUAAUUAAACCUACAUCCACGGAGGCAAGAAAGAAUAAUUAUUUAUUUAACAAUUAAUAGAGUACAAUAUUUGAGUAACGAAUCUCACUUCUCAGAAACCCAAAUAUACCCAGUACUCUCACACUCUGCAGGAAAGAUAAAUUCCCCAGACACACUUUUCUCACUUCUCUCAAAAGCUUAGAACUUAUAAGCUUAACAAUUUUGGGAUACUAAACAAAUGAAGAAUGCUUAGCUAUUUAUAGGAAAAAUGUUGGCACUAUUCAUGAAACAAAUAUCAAGAAAAAAACUGCGUUCCAAACGCGUCCAAACCGCGUCCACACCACGUUCAAACCGUGUGCAAAAAAUCCACACGGAUUUGACUUGACUUUUCAACAAAUAACCUUGUUGGUGCAUGUAAUGGAGACCUUGAAAAACUUGGAAACACAAGUUUCUGACUUCAUCUUCAGAGAAAUUUUUACCCUCUCUUUCUUUCAUAAGUUUUAGAAGAUCAGAUUCCAUGUAGUCGAACACAAUGAAUACAUCUUCGUGUUUUUUGACAAGAUUCCUCAAUUUGACAAUGUUGGGACGAUUAUUCAUCUUCCUUAAGCAUUUAACUUCUUUCAAGUUCCUGCUCUCGUCCAAAGAAAAAAUCUUCUUCUUCAAUUUCUUGACAGCAACAUAAUCGCCGUUCCAAACGCGUCCAAACCGCGUUCAAACCGUGUGCAAAAAAUCCACACGGAUUUGACUUGACUUUUCAACAAAUCUCCACCUCGGCGAAAAUUUAUCCAAAUUUGAGCCGAUUGACAAUGAUCCUCCAAACUUCAUCCCUCACAUGAUCCUCAAAAGGAUCCACAUUGGCUGCAUCUAUCUAAUUGCCUAAGUACCCAAAGGUUGGGAUCAAGCCUGCCGUAGUUCCUAUUUCCCAAGGAAACACCUCAACAUAAUCGAAUGUUGUUGAUCUUCGCUUAUCUAGGUUUCUAGCGAAAUCAGAAUCACAAUACCCAACACAUUGUUGACCAUAAUCCUUCUUUAACAAUAACCGAACAUCAACUAUCCUAUAGAGAUAUCGGAGAAUCCACUUUACUGUAAGCCAAUGAUUUUUACCCGGUUGUGCACGUAUCUACUAACCAUGCUCACUGCUUGAGAUAUAUCAGGCCUUGUGCAUACCAUAGCAUACAUAAGACUACCCACAUCACUAGCAUAUGGAACACGAGCUAUGUAAUCGCGCUCCUCUUGAGAUCUAGGACAUGAAGAAGAGCUUAAUUUGAAAUGAGGAGCUAGAGGUGUACAUACCGGUUUAGUUUUGUCAUCCAUACCGAAUCUUUCUAGCACUUUAUUCAAAUAAGACUUUUGAGUCAACCAUACGCUCUCAUUCUUCUUGUCUCUACGAAUCUCCAUCCCAAGUAUUCUCUGUGCAUCACCCAAGUCUUUCAUCUCGAACUCAGAAGCCAGCUGCUUCUUUAAUCUUUCGAUCUCAUCUCUAUUCUUUGAAGCUAUAAGCAUAUCGUUGACAUAGAGUAACAAAUAGAUGAAAUCUCCAUCUAGUAGUCUUCUAAAAUAAACACAAUGAUCGUGUUCACUUCUGGUGAAUUUCUGCCCUUGUAUAAAUUGAUCAAAUCUUUUGUACCACUGCCUUGGCGACUGCUUCUGUCUGUAUAAAGAUUUUAAUCAACCUACAUACAUGAUUCUCCUUUCCAGCAACUCUGAAACCACAAGGCUAAGUCAUAUAGAUUUCCUCUUCCAAAUCUCCAAAUAAGAAUGUUGUCUUAACAUCCAAUUGAGCCAACUCUAACUCAUAUUCUGCAACUAAAGCAAGUAGGAUACGAAUGGAAGUAUGUUUUACAACUGGAGAGAAAACUUCAUUGUAGUCAAUACCUUCUUUCUGAGCAAAACCUUUUGCCACAAGCCUUACCUUGUAUCGAGGAGUUGAUUGAUUCAGAGAUUCUUGUUUUUUGGUGUAGACCCAUUUAUUGCCAAUAGCUUUUUUCCCCUUUGGUAACUUUACAAGUUCCCAAGUCUGGUUUUGAUGGAGAGAUUUCAUCUUUUCCUCAAUGGCUAACUUCCACUGAUUACUUUCAUUGCUGCAUAAUGCUUCACCGAAAGUAUUGGGGAUGUCAUCAUCAAUAACUGGAAGUGCAUAGGCUACCACCUUAUCUUUAGUAAGCCAUCUGAGUUUCUUUAUCUCUCUUCUUGGUCUCCUUGUUGCUGUAAAAUCAUCAUUAUGUACAUCAUCAAUUGUUUCUUCAUUUUGUGGGACAGCAGAAGAAACAACCUAUUAUUUGACUCUAGGUGUCACCUCCAUAGUUAAACCAUUAUUUGAUGUAGAAUUAACUGGUACAUAAGGAGUUGCAUCAAACUCCACCCGCUGCAAUACCUCUUUGGUCUUGUUCUCCACCUGCUGAGAAUUUGAAGCUUUUAUCAUUGAAGUUUCAUCAAAUGUGACAUCUCUGCUACACACAAACUUUUUGUCUUUGAGAUCCCAAAGCUUGAAGCCCUUUACUCCACCUUUGAAUCCCACAAAGAUAGUUUUUCUAGCACGAGGAUCCAGUUUACCAUCUUUGACAUGAUAAUAAGCUGGACACCCGAAUAUAUGAAGGGAAUUAUAGUCUUGUGCAUGCUUUCCAAACCACAUUUCCAUAGAAGUUUUACCUCCAAUUGCAACAGAAAGCAACCGAUUUACCAAAUGACUUGCGUAGCUCACAGCUUCAGCCCAAAACUUUUUAUCGAAACCAGCAUUAGAUAACAUACACCGUACCUUCUCCAGUAAAGUACGAUUCAUACGCUCAGCCACACCGUUCUGUUGCGGAGUAUGUCUCAUCGUGAAAUGUCUUUUAAUACCCUCGUUCUGGCAUACUUGCAAGAAUGGAUCAGAAGUAUAUUCACCCCCAUUAUCAGAUCGUAAUACUUUGAUCUUUCUGCCAGUUUGAGUCUCCACCAAUUUCUUCUAUUUCACGAAAAUCUCUAGAACCUCAUCCUUUGCUCGCAUGAUGUACACCUACACACGUCUAGAGAAAUCAUCAAUAAAAGUAAUAAAAUAAUGGCUUCCACCAAUUGAUGCAGUCUUGGUUGGUCCCUAUACAUCACUAUGAACAUAUUCAAGGAUCUCACGAGUAUCGUGAUUAGCUGUACCAAACAUGACCCUUGUUUUCUUGCCUACUACACAAUGCUCACAGAAAUUUAAUUUACAGGUUUUGGUACCUUUUAAGAGUCUGUGCCUUAUCAGAGUUUGUAAAGACUUCUCACCAGCAAGUCCCAGUCGUACAUGCCAUAGCUUGGUGGUGUCACUGUGCGCCUCAACAACAUUUGCUUCAUCAGUUGUACCUCCCUUCAAAUAGUACAGAUUGUGACACUGAACCCCUUGCAGAAUCAUCAUAGCCCCAUGUGUAAACUUCAUUAUACCAUCUUCAAUGGUAACCUUGUAGCCUUUAGCUUCCAAAGCACCCACAGAAAUUAGAUUUUUCUCUAAAGUUGGAACAAAUCUAACCUCUUUGAGUUCUCUGACCAUUCCAUCAAUCAUUUUGAGCCGAAUUGUUCCUAUCCCCAUUGUGCGACAAGGUUGAUCAUUCCCCAUCACAACUGCACCGGAUUCCAAAUUACGAAAAUCAGUAAACCAUUCCUUAAUAGGACACAAAUGAUAGGUUGCUCCAAUAUAAAGUAUCCACUCGCUCGAACUAGCCACGUAUGCUACAAGAGUAAUACUUAGUGAAUAAUCAGAGCCCUCAUCUUUCCGUGCCAUGUUUGCUGCUGUUGGUUUCUUCCCAUCUCUCUUUUGAGCCUUUGGACAAUCUUUCCUCCAAUGGCCCUUUUCAUGACAAAAGGCACACUCAUCUCGAGCUAUAUUUCUGCUUCUCGAUUUAGAUCGAGAAUUCUUUCCACCACGCUUCUUCUGUUUCUCCAUCGCCCAAUCUCUGCUCACCAAAGCUUUAGACGAUGCUCGUUCAGAAUUUUUAUCAUUAUUCCGAAUCUCUAAGCUAGUCAAUGUUGUGCAAACAUAUUUAUAGACGAUCACACUCUUUCCAUAUAUCAAGGUAGUCACAAAAUGGCUAUAUUCCUCUGGUAGUGAGUGUAACUGAAUCAUAUCCUUGACUUCAUCCUUAAUAUCUUCAUCAAGAUUCUUCAAAUCAACAAGUAACUUUCAAUCUUGAGACAUGAUCGUGCAUUGACACCCCAGACUUCAUUCGAAAGCCAUAUACUUGGCUCAUUGCAUGAAGACAAUUUUCAGGACUUUUCAGCAAGUACUUCUCCUCCAAUGUACACCACAAAGUCACCGCACACUCCUCAUCUUUCACAAAGUAUUUCACCUCCUUGGUCAAACAAGAUUUGAUCUGACCACAAGUUUUCUCAUUCAUACGAUCCCAAAUUUCUUCAUCAUACAAGUGUCUUUUAUUUUUCAGAACAACAUCAUGAUCGAUUUGAAUAAGGACAUCUAUAACUUCGCGCCUCCACAUGCCGAAGUUGAUUUUCCUAUCAAAUUUUUCAACAUCGAUCUUUUGACCUCCUAUAACGUGUGCUGAAUAACGAUUUGACAAAUCUCGCCUCUCACCUGAAGUGUCUCUUGAAAUAGUCUCGGUAGAUCUCUCCCCAAUUCUGCAAGUUUCACCUUCUACAAUUUUCUCAACGAACUAUUUCCACUUGAAAAAACAGCCUCUAUGAUGUUAAUUUCGCGUGAAUAAAUGCACCAGGAAAGUUCUCAGGAAACUGGAUGGGAACUUGGUUCCAAUUAAAAACCAGAAUCCUUAGACUCUUAUCGCCUUUUUUGACAGAACUUUCCUAGACAUGCAAAAAUACACACUACUUACGAUAUACUGUCUCUCAAGUACAAAUGGUCGUCUCCACCGUAUUCGUGAACAGUACCGUAUACGUGAACAGUACCGUAUCCCCCAAGUACGAACCGUCGGCUCUGAUACCACUUGUUGUGCGCGGAAUGCGGAAUCAAGCGCACCAAACAAUUAUAGAAAAAUAAAGGACACAAGAAUUACGUGGUUCGGUAAUUAAACCUACAUCCACGGAGGCAAAAAAGAAUAAUUGUUUAUUUAACAAUUAAUAGAGUACAAUAUUUGAGUAACGAAUCUCACUUCCCAAAAACCCAAAUAUACCUAGUACUCUCACACUCUGCAGGAAAGAUAAAUUCCCCAGACACGCUUCUCUCACUUCUCUCAAAAACUUAGAACUUAUAAGCUUAACAAUUUUGGGAUACUAAACAAAUGAAGAAUGCUUAGCUAUUUAUAGGAAAAAUGUUGGCACUAUUCAUGAAACAAAUAUCAAGAAAAAAACCGCGUUCCAAACGCGUCCAAACCGCGUCCACACCACGUUCAAACCGUGUGCAAAAAAUCCACACGGAUUUGACUUGACUUUUCAACAAAUAACCCUGUUGGUGCAUGUAAUGGAGACCUUGAAAAACUUGGAAACACAAGUUUCUGACUUCAUCUUCAGAGAAAUUUUUACCCUCUCUUUCUUUCAUAAGUUUUAGAAGAUCAGAUUCCAUGUAGUCGAACACAAUGAAUACAUCUUCGUGUUUUUUGACAAGAUUCCUCAAUUUGACAAUGUUGGGACGAUUAUUCAUCUUCCUUAAGCAUUUAACUUCUUUCAAGUUCCUGCUCUCGUCCAAAGAAAAAAUCUUCUUCUUCAAUUUCUUGACAGCAACAUAAUCGCCGCUCCUUUUAUCAAGAGCCUGAAACACGUCGCCAUAAGCCCCCGGAUAAACUCCCUAAUCUUUUCGUAUUGCUCCAUUAUUUUUUAGUAUGAUAUAUGAAACGAAAUUUUUGUUUCUCUACGGAUAUUUAUAUGCGACAAUAACUUGCCGCAUUGAAUUAGGGAAUAAUUUCCUAUUCCCAUUACAUGUAAUGAUAAUGCCUUAAUUAAAUAGGAAACUAGUUUCCUAAAUGAAAUUAAUAUGGAACUCAGAAAAGGAAAUUUGUUUAAGAAGUGCACUAGGAAAAGGUUAUAUUAGUAACUUUCAACGUGUUCUUAAUUAUCUAAAAACAUCCAUUUUUUUGUUUUUUAUUUAACUAGAUAGGCUUGUCAAUUAGUAACUAAUGUAAUAUAAGUUAAGUAAAACAUCAAAUUUUAAUAUUUAACCAAUUAGGCCAUUUGAAAUCUAACAGUUUCUCCCAGUUAAUACUAUUUACUUUUCUUCGUUGUAGGCUAAUAAAACAAGAGAGAGACAAAAACCAAGUGUAAGUUGUAACAAAGAGGAAUGUAGCUAAUAUAUACAUUAUCAUAAGAAUGGGAGCUAGCUUUCAGAAAAUCACACUUCACGAAUACACGCUUUUACAACAAAAGGGUACGUAAAAUUAUCAGGUCUAAGCCCGUUUUUAGCAUUUCAUCAAACAGUUUGAUUGAUUCAAUCGAACAAGAAAGAGGAAUGUAGCUAAUAUAUACAUUAUCAUAAGAAUGGGAGCUAGCUUUCAGAAAAUCACACUUCACGAAUACACGCUUUUACAACAAAAGGGUACGUAAAAUUAUCAGGUCUAAGCCCGUUUUUAGCAUUUCAUCAAACAGUUUGAUUGAUUCAAUCGAACAAGAAAGAGGAAUGUAGCUAAUAUAUACAUUAUCAUAAGAAUGGGAGCUAGCUUUCAGAAAAUCACACUUCACGAAUACACGCUUUUACAACAAAAGGGUACGUAAAAUUAUCAGGUCUAAGCCCGUUUUUAGCAUUUCAUCAAACAGUUUGAUUGAUUCAAUCGAACAAGAGGCUUUUGCAUACGCUCUUAUAAGGGUAUUGUAAGCAAAACGUGGUGGCGUGACGGGCAAGUUAUUGAAUAGGGAUCUCGUAAAGUGGAGUGAGAUUGAAAGUGAAGUGAGAAUGAAGCGUGAGAUUAUGUACGUGUUGUGAUCGAGUGAUGUUUUGAGGAAUAGAGCGUGGCGUUGAUGAAGGUAGUGGGCGGUUUUUGACAGUUGGAUCAGGUUUUCAUUUUGGCGGGAAAUCAUGACCCCAAACUAAAGUUGAGAAAUAAAAGAAAAAACUACUAAUUUUUAAAUAUUAGAAACUUUUUAUGUCAGUUGUAAGUUGUAACAAUAUGACACCUGAAACAAAACCAUUUUCAUGGCAAUUGAAGUGUAAUAUCACAUUUUUUUCAAAUUCAAAAUUUCAACUAAAAUGUGGCUUGGCAUAGAGCUCUUUUGGGAUUGUUUUUGAGGCUCAAAAUUUUGUUUUUGAAAAGAUAAAAAUUAAUUUUGGUAUUUGGUAUUUUUUAAAAUAUUAUUUUUGGUAAAGUCACCUCAUUAUACGGUAGAUUAGAAAAAUAGAAAAUGAAUAGCUUUACACAACUGAUUUUGAUAAUCAGUUUUAUACUUAAACUCCCGUUGGAAUACAUUUUCAAAUAAAGUUUAUUUAAGUAAAACUUUUGUUGAUAGAGUUUUUACUAAUUUUAUUUAUUUGGUUGUCGAUGAAAGCUUUUAUUAAAAAUUAUGAAAUUCUUUUACAGGAAAGAAAAGGAAUGAAAUAAGAUUGUCAAAUAAAUAAAAAUAUUUUAAUAUUUAAAAAAAGCUUUUUAACCCUUAUUACUCCAAAAGUCCAAAAUUUGAACUUUGCUAGUAGAGGUAAAAUAACUUGUUUAAUCGACAAAAACUCUACUAAAAAAAUAAUCAAACAAUAAUAAAAAUUUUAAAAAUAACUUAUGAGAUUAGAUAAGUACUUAUGACCAUGAGAUAAAUCAUAUCAAACAGACACUUAUAACAAUUUCAUAUAUAUAUUCACAUAAAUUUUAUAUAUCCAAAAUUAUCCUUAUUCAAUUAAGAAAUAAAAUUAUUAAAUUUAAAGAGAUUAUUAUCAUUACCAAUUAUAUUAAGAAAACAAAAUAAAAAUUAAACUUAAUAAAAUAAAAAUAUUUAUUUUAUUUAUUAAUUAUCAUAUAUAUGUGUGUGUGUGUGCGCGCGCGCAAAUAAAUUUUAUUUAAAAUUAUGUCUAUUUUAAUAAUUUGUAUUCUAAUAAGAUUUACUAAAUACAUAUGACUGAUUUUUUAACUCACAAUAUUUUUUAAAAUAAUCUUUUACUAAAUAUUUAACUUCUACAACUGAUUAAUUUUACAGCACAAUUAUUAAUAAUUAUUUUAAAAGUUUUAACAUUGUUAAAUUGACCCAUAGUCGGUCCAACCCUAAAUUUGAGACAUAAAAAAUGUGAGGUACUUAUGGCGUAAAAAAUCUAUCACAAUCGUGCUGACAAUUUCUACCAUGGUCACAAAGUGCAACAAAACCUAAAUUAUCAUCCAAAGGAUCAAAGUAUUUUGAAGUCGUUGUUUAAUCUCUCACAUUUAUCAAUUGUAUGUCACCACCAUCAAUAUAUGCACGGGUCCGUACUAUAUGAUGACUCUAUAUGCACAUAUAUUUUUGAGCUGAACUGACAAAUUUUCUCACUCAAUUUCAAUGAGUAUUCAGAACAUCAAGGGAGAGAACCCAAAUCAUUGAAGAGGUGGAAGAUACGAAGGGCUUUCUUGGCAUAGCAAGACAAUUUAACCAGUGAAAAUAGACAAAUUUAAAAUAGGAAUCUAGCACAUGAGUCGGGGCCCGGGUUUAAUAAAAGAAUUGUCUACUUGUUGCUAAAUGUUUUUAAUUAAAUUGGGUCACCUAACCUCGACAUAAAUUUUGGACUGAUUUGUGGCCUAUUGAAUUGUUUGAGCACGAUCAUCUAGUUGCUAAUUUUUUGCUUUAUUGAAAAAUUAAAAUGAAAACAACUUAUUCAAUUUUAUAAGAAAGCAACUCGGUUUUGUUGUAUUAAAAAAAGACUCUUGACUAAUUCUCCGGAGGGGAUUAGAUAUUAGUUAUGUAAUAAUAUGUAUGAGACUUUUAUUCCCGCUCUGUUUGUCCUAGUCUUUACUAGGCUCCACUAUAUUAAAAAAAAGAAAAGAAAGACUCUUGACCGCUUAUCACUUUGUCCGAAGAUUGCACAAUUGGUUGGAAUUAUUAUAUUCCUCGGUCAAGGAUCAUGCGAGCAAAGCGCACGUUUAAAAAAUCCAAUGGGCAUUCUCAAAAAAAAAAAAAAAAAAAAUCAGCACACAAAUUAUUUCUUAUUACGAGAGUAAGGUCUUUUAAUAAAAAGUAAUUAUCCAUCCAUCACCUCUUUUUUUGUGUUUUCUUUUUAAAUACACAUUUUUUUGCUGAAUUUUAUUUGAAAAUACAUUGUCUUACACCCGUCUAUUGCCGUCUUAAUUUUGUUAAUAGAAUUAACAGAAUAUUGAUCAAAUGACUUUUUUACCCACAAACAUAAAAUUAUUAUUUUACUCUAAAUAAAUGCCAAAAAAAUAAAUUAAAAAGGCACUAAUAAAUAUAAAUUGAAAGUAGUGAAGUAUGAUAAGAUAUAGGAUGCGUUUAAAAUUGAGAUUGAGCAGUUGUAUCUUAAAAACUACAGUAUUAAAGUGUUUGGUAAACACUAAUUACUGCAGUUUCGAAGAUAUAUUGAUAUGAUUUUUCACUUGUGAAAUAGAAAAUUUAUUAUAUCUUUAAUAAUUUUGUCAAAAUUAUUGUUUAAAAUUUAUAUUUACUAUAUAUUAUUAUUAUUUUUAUAAUUAAAAUUUUUUUAACAACACCUCAAUUCUAAACAGGACCAUAAUCAAAUUCAACACCAAUCAAUAUCCAACCAAUAAUUAUUGUAAAACAUAAAACAUAAAACUACUUCAAUUAAAUAAUGAUGGGGAUUAAAAUUUAAAAAGCUUAUACUUAAUCAUCACCAUCUGGAUCAACACCCUCAAAAGUCCACUCACACACACUCCUUCCUGGCUGUUUCCUCCUCCUCGGGCGUAAAAUUAUUUUCAAUCCCAAGUAACUUCCUGACAUAUACUCGACACUCUUGUUCUUGAUCCUUUUUGGCCAAAGCCUCUGUCAGAUAAUCCAACAUCUUUUUAUUAUCAACGGUCAUCACUGCUCAUCAAUACCAUACGUUGGUAUUGUUGCUAAUCUACAAGCCUAUUCCAAAUCACCAUGGCACAAGUGGAAGGCAACAUUGAGGCAAAAUUAUUUCAACAUUUCGUGGGCAUCUAUCUCCGUCGUUGCAGUGGUUGUUGUCCUUUGACCCACGUUCACACAAACAGUUUGUUUAAGUACCUUUAAUCAUUAAUUCUGGAAAUGAGUUAGCUGUGCAGAUUGUUUUCGGUUAUUAAUUGUUUCUAAUGCUGGAAAUGAGGAAUUUCCAUCUUAAGCAUUGCCAUACAUUUUCAAUUGUUGCAGGUUGAGAUUACUAGCAGAAUCCAAAGGAUACCGACUUGAUGAUACAGGGCUGUUUCCAGCUACUCAUGGCUCAGGCGAUAAACAGGUUAUCAGCUGGAUUUCAGAAUCAUCUCGUUGCUGGAACUUCGUUUCCUUGUUCAUUAAAAAGCUCAGCUAUGUGAAUUUUACUGCAGGGUGUAAGGGCGAGAACAAGUUUGAAAUUUGAUACUGAGAAGGAGGUGUUUGAUUUCCUGGGAUUUCCUUGGCUAGAACCUCAUGAAAGAAAUUUGUGAAACAUGUGCAGUGUGUUUAGCAGUAAGAUGAUGCUGUAGAUAGGCACGCAUCAAAGAGUAGGCUGUACUUAGGAGGCUGUCAACAGACAUAUGUUUGGUACUAAUUAUACCGUAAAGUGUGCUGGUGGUCAUGGUGACAGGCCUUGGGUUUGAUGCUCGACUUAAGUUAUCAGACUUUAUGUUUAUUGAAUGUAUAUAUUUUUGGUGUAAAAAUUCUGUAUUAUUAUAAAAUUUUUAUCCUAAACAUUUCUCUGUGUAAUUUAAAUUACUUUACUGCAGAUUUAGGAAUAUUAGAAAAAUUGACUGACGUUCUUGCCUUUUCGGGGAUGGUUCUCUUUGAAUGAACGAAGCUUUUAGCACUAUACGUAUGUAUAUUUAUCUAUUUUGAUUUUUGGGAUUCGAAAGGUAAAUUUUAGUUGCUCAUAUAUUGAAUGUAAACAACAAGCUUGACUUAUAUAACACUAAUAAAUAUAAAUUGAAAGUAAUGAAGUGUGAUCAGAUAUAGGAUGCGUUUAAAAUUGAGAUUGGGCAGUUGUAUCUAAAAAACUACAGUAUUAAAGUGUUUGGUAAACAUUAAUUACUGUAGUUUCGAAGACAUAUUGAUAUAAUUUUUCACUUGUGAAAUAGAAAAUUUAUUAUAUCUUUAAUAAUUUUGUCAAAAUUAUUAUUUAAAACCUGUAUUUACUACAUAUUAUUAAAAAAAUUUAUAAUUACAAUUUUUUUUAACAGCACCUCAAUUCUAAACAGGACCAUAAUCAAAUUCAACACCAAUCAAUAUCCAACCAGUAAUUAUUGUAAAACAUAAAACAUAAAACUACUUCAAUUAAAUAAUGAUGGGGAUUAAAAUUUAAAAAGCUUAUACUUAAUCAUCACCAUCUGGAUCAACACCCUCAAAAGUCCACUCACACACUCCUUCCUGGCUGUUUCCUCCUCCUCGGGCGUAAAAUUAUUUUCAAUCCCAAGUAACUUCCUGACAUAUACUCGACACUCUUGUUCUUGAUCCUUUUUGGCCAAAGCCUCUGUCAGAUAAUCCAACAUCUUUUUAUUAUCAACGGUCAUCACUGCUCAUCAAUACCAUACUCUGGUAUUGUUGCUAAUCUACAAGCCUAUUCCAAAUCACCAUGGCACAAGUGGAAGGCAACAUUGAGGCAAAAUUAUUUCAACAUUUCGUGGGCAUCUAUCUCCGUCGUUGCAGUGGUUGUUGUCCUUUGACCCACGUUCACACAAACAGUUUGUUUAAGUACCUUUAAUCAUUAAUUCUGGAAAUGAGUUAGCUGUGCAGAUUGUUUUCGGUUAUUAAUUGUUUCUAAUGCUGUCAUCUAAAUAUACUGAUAAUUUCAUUUAUUUUAAUUUAUUGCUAUUGCAGUUGAUUUCUGUACUUACUGUCGUUGUUUUCACUCACCUUUCUAAUUACAUAAUAAUAGAAAUUUGAUAAUUUUACUAAUUUAUCGGAAUAAAGAGACAGACUAAUUUAUUUAUUGUCUGCGUGUCACCUCAAUUUUAGAAUGCGUCACCUAGCUAACGUCAAUAAUGGAGAAAGGCAGAAGAAAUAGAAAAGCAAUAUUGUAAAAGUUUGAUGCAUUCAAUUAAAGGAAAUAGCAAAAGAAAGAUAAAUAAGCAAAUAUGUUAAUAAAAUAACUAAACCAGAUAAUUGAAUAAACCAGUAUGUGUAUUGAUUCUAGAUUAGCAAGAGAUAUACCUUAAUUUUUUUAAUCAUGAAUUAGUUGCUUUAGCGUGAAAGUUUAAUCAAAGUCAAAAUUUUUAUUGUGAAAUUGCAGAGUACUUUCCAACCUGGACAAAUUGUCUACGGUAAAGCCCCAAGUCAAGUCAAGUCAAGCAAAGCACAUAAUGAUAAUACACGUAUAUACGAAGCCAUGCGGAUUGACGAAAUUGAAGCCAUAGUUGAUGGGCUGUAAUCGUUAAUUUCUUGGCCAUUAUUUUGCUAUAAAUAGAAGUGCAGAUGAAGAGCUGAAGUAUUCCAUUGAGAGAGAAGCAAUUUAGCAUUUUAGAGAGAGAAUUUAGAGAGCUUGAAAUUAUAAGCUCUUGUUAUAGUGAUUUGAGAGAUUGAGUGUAUUGCGGUUUUGGGUAGUGAUCUAAAAUAUCCCAAUACUUGUAAUUCAUUUUCACUAGUAAAAUAUUUUUUUUCUAUCUUCGCCCGUGAACGUAAGUUAAAAGUCGAACCACGUAAUUUUUGGUAUCCCUGUGUGAUUCUAUUGUCUCAUUAUUUUUCAAUUUCACUUUAGUUACAUGUCUACUUCACCCAUUAAUUUCCCAACAAGUUGUUCUUCUUGUUCUUCCUUUUUCUUUUUUUUCAAGAUACAUAUUCUUAUAUUUUCCUUUAAUCAUUAAUUCUGGAAAUGAGUUAUCUCUGCAGAUUAUUUUCGGUUGUUAAUUGUUUUUGAUGCAGUUAUCUAAAUUAAUUUCUUCUUGUUCUUCCUUUUUCUUUUUUUUUUUCCUAAUAUUGAUGUUUCGAGAUACAUAUUCUUAUAUUUUCCUUUAAUCAUUAAUUCUGGAAAUGAGUUAGCUCUGCAGAUUAUUUUCGGUUGUUAAUUGUUUUUGAUGCAGUUAUCUAAAUUAUCUGAAUAAUUUCAUUUAUUUUAAUUUGUUGCUGCUGCAGCGAGCAAUAUUUUAGUAGAAGAUGGAUGUAUCGAUUGAUAUGAAGAAGUUAGCCGAUUCUUUGAGUUGGAAGUUGGAGACCCUGCCUCCCUUGUCUAAAGAUUGUUCCAUCUAUAGAGUUGCUGAGCCCACGCGGUGCUCAAAUCCAAGGCAUUUUACUCCGCGAAUGGUUUCAAUUGGCCCUUUUCAUCAUGGUAAGGAAGAGCUAAAACCCAUGGAAGAGCAUAAACAGAGGUACCUAAAAUACUUUCUUCAACGGACUAAGGUGAGCAUGGUAAGUUUCCUCACUUUUAUAAAGAAAAGGGAAACAAAACUGCGCAAUUGUUAUGCAGAAACCAUUCGUAAUCUUGGUAGUGAUGAGUUCGUAGCGAUGGUUUUAGCGGAUGCUGGCUUUCUCAUUGAGUUCUUUAUGAGAUAUUAUAAACCUCGUCUCAUAACCGAUGAUGAUCGCAUUUUUAGAAAACCCCAAUGGCAUAAGGAAAUAUGGCACGACUUUUUGCUGGUAGAAAAUCAGCUUCCAUUAUUCAUUCUCAAAGACUUGUUUGAUCAAGCCAAAAUAACAGCCCGUGAAGAUGCCUUUUACGAGAAUAUUUCCUUUGUCAAAAUUACAUGUUUUUGGUUCGGGGAUCAAGUACUUGGAUUUCUUCCACUGGACGAGAAUUUGCUAGAAAUCCACUUUUCCAAAGCUGAGCAUUUUCUUGAUCUGAUUAUACUCUCUCUUCAGCCAUCCCAGCCACGUGCUCAAAUUAUAAUAAAAGAUCAAAACAUACCCAGUGUGAAGGAACUUCACCAAGCCGGAGUCAAGUUUAAACCAGCUGCCGGGUCAACCAAAAAUCUACUCGACAUCAAUUUUAAUCAAGGAAUUCUGGAAAUUCCAUUUUUCAAGGUGUUGGAUACCACAGAGCUUGUGUUCAGAAAUCUUCUAGCCUUCGAAAGCAUGCAUGGCUACAACGGAUAUUUUAAUGAUUACAUUAUAAUGAUGGCUUGUCUCAUCAGCUGUCCGAAAGAUGCAGAAUUACUCGUUCAAAAUGAUGUUAUUAGGCUAGGGAAUACUGAAACUGUUCCAACGGUUUUUGGAAACCUUGGUCGCGACUGUACGUUAUAUAGUGAUGAUUUCCAAUAUUCUGGUGUUGUCACUAAUUUACAGGCCUAUCGCAAGUUACCAUGGCACAAAUGGAAGGCAACCUUGAAGCAAAAUUAUUUCAACACUCCAUGGGCUUCUAUCUCUGUAAUUGCAGCUGUUAUUCUCCUUCUACUCACAGCCACGCAAACAGUUUCUUCUCUAAUUGCAUUGUAGAUUUAUUAA